UUUUUACUGCCCCAGUGCCACUCAACUCUCAGCAUGAUGCCUCACACCUUAGUAUGGGCAGGGUGCCCUCUUAGUCUGGCCCCUUACCUUUGACCAUCCGGCAUGAGCGACCCUACCAGUAGCAAAGCUACUGCUGGCAUAGCUCUUAGAAUUUUCGGAACAUGCAAGCUCCCUCACCCCUACAAGGUGGAAACACCAUCGAGAGAGCUAUUUGAACUUAAUAAAGAUACAGAAGACAUCACAGCUGAUAUUUGUUUUCAUUUUGUCUUAUUAUUCAAAUUGUUGAUAUUAUUCAAAUUGUUGGCUCUUGUAAAUUAAAAGUUUUUAGCAAUAGCUACUAUCAUCAUUCCAGAUUUCAACCUACCCAAAAUUUUAAUUUUCUCUUCAAGCAGUACUUUUCUGAUCACCUUCAACUUAGGCAUUCUUUUAUUUCAGUAUUUGUGGC
This 445-nucleotide long non-coding RNA is filed under the name Androctonus crassicauda. The record is from RNAcentral. Lineage: Eukaryota; Metazoa; Arthropoda; Arachnida; Scorpiones; Buthidae.